AAGAGAGUCUAGACUGUGUUCAUCUCUUUAUUCAGCGUGUCCUCUCUGGUGCCUCUUCCCAAGAUUUCGCACAAUCCCAAAUCUGUAAUUAGAGAAGUAGUAAGACACUUUUUUAAAAGUCCGUUUAGCCCACAACACUGUCAUCUCCAUGCACACAGGAUGCACAUUCUCACUCCUCACAAGGUGGCACAAAUAGGGUGCACAAUGAGUAAUUAUUUGGUUGAAUAAAAAAAUAUGAACUAUACCAAAGUGAAAGAAUAAAAUAAAUAUUAAUAACAGCAGCUAACAAUUAUACAGUCUUAUUCUCCAGAGAGAAAUUUGGGUCCUUGGUUGGCUGAAUCAGUGGCUGCAAAACUUGUGGACACAACUCAGUGGUAUUCAUUGUGCUACGUGAUUUUAUAUUAGAGACUUGAGCAUCCAUGAAUUUUGGUAUCUGUGGGGGCUCCUAGAAACAAUACCCUACAGUCAGUGAGGGAAGACUGUACAGAUGUUAACUAUGUGUCAGGAACUGGUUCUAAGGCCUUACAAAUGUUAACUCAUUUAUUUAUCCCCAUGAACCUAAAGUACAAAAUUAUAUCCACUUUACAGUUGAGGAAAGUGAGGCACAGUGGGAUUCAGUUGCUUAGGGCCACACUUUGGUGAUACAGCCAGGAUUCAAACCCAGGCAGCCUAUAUUCUAGAGUCUCUUUCCUUACCAACUAUAUUAUAUAGUGCCUGGCCAGUGGCAGAGGUUGGCCAAUUGUCCUUAUUUCAUAAAUGACCAUCCCAGCAACCAUCCCUCGGAGGAGAGCAACCACUGCCACUGCUUUUCUGGAAUGACUACCAAGAGCCAGGCACUGUCCUAAUAAGCACGUUACGUGCUAUUUCAUCUAGUACAACAAAUUAUUUACCCCACAGAUUAAAUAUCAGGCACAGAAAGGUGAAUCAACUUGCCCAAGGUCACACAGCGAAGAACUGGCACAGCUAGAUCUCAGUUGAGCUCUAUCUUCCAGUGAAGUAUAAGCUCUUAAUUACCACAUAAUGAUUCCUUCUACUUGGAAAGUUAUAUACUUUUUAAAACUUGUCUAACAUGUAUGGCAAGAAUACUCUGAAGCAAUUUCUUGGACCCUGGUUUUCACUGCUCUCUUCAUACUGCCCUAGAAUGCUAUUUAGUCUCACCUCUUACAACAAAGUCACAUUAUACACAGAUUUAAGUAGUAUGAAACCACCUAUACAAGCAUAGGGAUGGAAUAAGUCAGUGAGAGAGUUGACGUUAAUGGGUAAAAUCUAGUGGGUAACCCCACUGCCAUGUUAUUUAAAGGACACAAGUCCCCGAGGGAGAUGGGAGGAACUGAAAUCCCAAUGCUCAUCCCCAAAUGCUCACUAGAUGGGCAUCUCAGCACAUGACUGGGACUCUAAUGCUUAAAGAUAUUAAGUUAUAUGGCUAAUUUCAAAGACUUUUAAAGCUAAUUUUGAUUAUAAAGAUUUUUUUGCCUAUUGAAACAUCUUUAGAGCCUCUCCUUCAUGUGGACUAGACUCCACUGUACAAUGGCUGCAGUGUGCUAGAGACAUACUGGAACUACAAAGAGGAACGAAGACUAGCUCAUGUCCUGAAACAUACAUCUGGUCUACUUGCUAAGGGAGAGGUGAACACUCAGUAACAUGAUAACCAGCUCAGAGGUGGAAGAAAUAGUAACAAGGGCUCAACUAGAUACUAAACUUCUGAAUUAAAAGAAAAGCAGACACAUCUCAAUUCCCCAGUGGUGGGUGACAUAAAGAUGAUUUGUCUAAUAGUGAGAGAAAAUUAUAUGCUGAUUCUUUGACCACGGAGUUUCUUUAAAAGGAGUUUGCACAAAGAGCCAUCAAGAUAAAGAAACAUUAACUUGUAUUUUUCAAAAAACAGUGAUUUUUCAUUCCCCACUUAUACCAAAAGAAAAUUCAGCAAAGGCCUUCCUCAUGUCACAUAUCAUAAUGAAUCAAUUUUCUUAACCAAACAUAAACUUGACUGAACAUCUCUAUCUGGAAACACUCUAUUAUGACAACAUUUGUGGAACACUGAAAGAUCUGACCACUUCUCUUUUCCCCAAACAGCACAAGAAACCCAGAUAACAAAUGAAGGUUAUACUUUGUAACAAGAAUAGACAAGGAGACUGAAUCACAGCAAAACACUUAGAAAUCAAGAGAGAGGAAGAAAAGUACCAAGAGAUUAAAGGCAAGGAGAACAAUAAUAGGAAGGAAAUCUCUUGUGAAAAGAAUCAUCUGAUGGUAACUUACUCAGGACAAAAAAGAAUUAAAUCUCUACUUGAAUGACCAAGCUCAAGAUGAGGUAAUUUCAUAAAGUUUAUAGAAAGUCACUUGAAAAUUACACAACUUGUUGUGGUACUCAACUUUUAGAGGGAAAUAAAAGUUCCCACAAGGGAGCUGAUCUUUAGAAAAAUGCAUUUACCAAGUGAGUGCAUGAAUUUUAACUGUUAACUAGGAGAUCAUCCUUAAUUCUUACCUGGACAGAAAAGUCACUCUAGAACUGAUUAAGUUCUUCUGGGUUUCAGGAAGAGAUUCUGACAUAAAAAUAAGAGAAUAAAAAAUUUAAAAUACAUUUAGAAUGCACAGUGCAAGAAAUAAAAAGAAGUGUUAACAGAGCUGGCCCCAGGGCCACUACAGGGUACAAGAGAAUGCUGGGACAAACUCUCAGUUUGCUCUCACCUGGAAAGAGGGAAUAUAGCUCAUAAUCUCAGACGCAAAUAGCCUCUUCUAGGAGCUUCAGGAGCACAAGUCCAGAGGAAGGUGCUGAUUGGCCUGAGGGACUAUGCCAAGAGGUUACCCCUGAAAGCAGCUAUCAGGAUGUGGUAAAUUAACUGCCCUACUUGAGGAUUAAGGAUACCCUGUGGACAGGAUGGAGGAAGAGAGGAUCCAAGUGGGGAUAAAGAGAGUUAAAGGAGGCAAUGAACUUGAUGGUAUUACCAAAAUCCCAGGGAAUGGGGGAAGAAUACUUCAAGAAACAUGAGAAAACAUAAGGAAAAUACAGUAUGACAAUAUGAUUAUCGCAGUCCACACAAAGUUCACUUUGGUAUCACGAUGUACCAAGUAAAAUUCACUUAUGAUACUGGUUUUUAUGUACAUAUGGUCUAUCUACACUUGUAGAGUAGUGUUUCUCACAUAAACUGUGGUGAAGGAUUAAUAUUUUAAAAUUCCCUGACAGUUAUGGACUGAUAUUUUCAUAAAAUACAAUAUUAUGAAUUGUUAGAAAAUUGCUCUCCCAUUUGCAUGUCAUGGCUAUGGCAAUCUGCAAUCAAAGUUUCUCGACGCUUCUUCUGUUUCUGUACUUACCACAAACCUAAAACAGUUCACAAACUGGCACUUUUACAGACACUGGCACUAGUCCAAUGCCACACUCUGAGCGUACUACUGGUGGGCCAGGAGUUCUCUGUCACAACUACUCAAUCCUGUAAGAAAACAAAUGAGUGAAGCUCUGUUCUAGGAAAACUGUAUUUAUAAAAACAGGCAUAGGGCAGGCUUUGGCCAUGAAUUAUAGUGUGCCUACCCCUGAUCUAGAACAGUGUUCUUCACACUCUAGUGUGCACAGCAAUCAUCUGCUGUAAAAACACAAAUUCUGACCUGAUGGAUAUGGAGUAGGGCUGAGAUUCUGCAUUUCUAAUAGCCUUCAAGUGGAUGUCAAUACUGACAGUCCAUGGUCUACAUUUUGAGCAGUCAGGCUCCACAGACUCUUCUCUGUGAACCCAGAGACUUAGAUGUGAUCUCUAGUAUACUAGGUACUUUAUCCUGAGUCUUUAUUGACCUUAGAAAAGAUUACAUCUGUCAGUCAGGUAAAUGGCUUCCUCUGCUUUAAAGAAAUGAUUAUACUCAGAAGAAAGAGAUAAGGACAGCCUCAUUGGAACCAAAGACACCAAAUAUCAGUUUCCCAUUCUCAUAAUCAGCGUAAAAUGUGACAUAGGUGAUCAAGAAGUUUUGUUGAUUGCUGACUGGACAUGGGAGUGACAAGCUGUGUCCACUAGGAAGAGGAAUCUAGGAUGAUGGUGGGGCUCUAAUUUCUGUCCUGUUAUCUUACCUAAGACAUUUUGCAUUGAUUGAUAAACUG
RNAcentral lists this long non-coding RNA (4075 nucleotides) under Sus scrofa (pig). RNAcentral's name for it is "lncRNA (ENSSSCG00045011292.1)". The record is from RNAcentral. Lineage: Eukaryota; Metazoa; Chordata; Mammalia; Artiodactyla; Suidae.